UAGUCCACGCCGUAAACGAUGGGUACUAGGUGUCCGGGAUGUUCGACCAUUCUGGGUACCGCAGCUAACGCAGUAAGUACCCCGCCUGGGAAGUACGGUCGCAAGACUAAAACUCAAAGGAAUUGACGGGGCCCGCACAAGCGGUGGAACAUGUGGUUUAAUUCGACGCAACGCGCAAAAACCUUACCCGGAUUUGACAUCCCGGGCUCACCUCAGAGAUGAGGUUUUCUCUUCGGAGACCCGGUGACAGGUGCUGCAUGGCUGUCGUCAGCUCGUGUCGUGAGAUGUUGGGUUAAGUCCCGCAACGAGCGCAACCCUUGUCCCUAGUUGCCAGCAUUGAGUUGGGCACUCUAGGGAGACUGCCGGUGAUAAGCCGGAGGAAGGUGGGGAUGACGUCAAGUCCUCAUGGCCUUUAUGU
This 418-nucleotide ribosomal RNA is filed under the name uncultured bacterium. RNAcentral's name for it is "bacterial SSU rRNA". It matches the Rfam family "Bacterial small subunit ribosomal RNA", at positions 791 to 1207 of the family's 1533-position model. The record is from RNAcentral.